This 254-nucleotide ribosomal RNA is filed under the name uncultured bacterium. RNAcentral's name for it is "partial 16S ribosomal RNA". It matches the Rfam family "Bacterial small subunit ribosomal RNA", at positions 524 to 776 of the family's 1533-position model. The record is from RNAcentral.
UACGGGGGGGGGCAAGCGUUGUUCGGAAUUACUGGGCGUAAAGGGUGCGUAGGCGGUUCGCUAAGUUGGAUGUGAAAACUCUGGGCUUAACCCAGAGCCUGCAUCCAAUACUGACGAGCUAGAGUUCUGGAGGGGGUAGCGGAAUUCCUGGUGUAGCGGUGAAAUGCGUAGAUAUCAGGAGGAACACCGGUGGCGAAGGCGGCUACCUGGACAGAGUCUGACGCUGAGGCGCGAAAGCUAGGGGAGCAAACAGG